RNAcentral lists this ribosomal RNA (424 nucleotides) under Verrucomicrobiota bacterium. RNAcentral's name for it is "Verrucomicrobia bacterium partial 16S ribosomal RNA". It matches the Rfam family "Bacterial small subunit ribosomal RNA", at positions 355 to 776 of the family's 1533-position model. The record is from RNAcentral. Lineage: Bacteria; Pseudomonadati; Verrucomicrobiota.
UGAGGAAUAUUGGUCAAUGGACGCAAGUCUGAACCAGCCAAGUUGCGUGCAGGAUGACGGCCCUAUGGGUUGUAAACUGCUUUUAUAUGGGGAUAAAGUGGGGAACGUGUUCCCUUUUGCAGGUACCAUAUGAAUAAGGACCGGCUAAUUCCGUGCCAGCAGCCGCGGUAAUACGGAAGGUUCGGGCGUUAUCCGGAUUUAUUGGGUUUAAAGGGAGCGUAGGCCGUUUGGUAAGCGUGUUGUGAAAUGUAGGAGCUCAACUUCUAGAUUGCAGCGCGAACUGUCAGACUUGAGUGCGCACAACGUAGGCGGAAUUCAUGGUGUAGCGGUGAAAUGCUUAGAUAUCAUGAAGAACUCCGAUUGCGAAGGCAGCUUACGGGAGCGCAACUGACGCUGAAGCUCGAAGGUGCGGGUAUCGAACAGG